Poecilia reticulata (guppy) is the source of this 3469-nucleotide non-coding RNA. NCBI's taxonomy places the organism in Eukaryota, Metazoa, Chordata, Actinopteri, Cyprinodontiformes, Poeciliidae. The record is from RefSeq and is a predicted model, not a curated record.
CACACACACACACACACACACACACACACACACACACACACACUCUCUCUCUCUCUCCCUCACACACACUUACACGGCACGCACAUGUUUUGGGAGAGUGCAGGGUGCGAAGGGAUUCCCCCCUCCCCUAAAACCGACCAUCCCGACACAGAUACAAACCCGAACUGGCAGCUGAAGGAGGGUUGUUUGCUGCUGCUCACCCUUCUUUAAACCCCGGUCAUUACGGCGACUCGAGACACAUUUUCUCAUUUUACGCACGCGCUCUCUCUGGAAACGUACACGUGUCUCACUUUCCAAGUUUGUGAAUAGAAAUUAAUCCACGUCCCUCAAACAUUGCUCACUUCAUUCACCCCCCCCCCCGCCCCCACCCCAUUUCAAUGUGCGAGAGAGAAACAAAAAACAGUAAUGAAAAUAAAAUAAAAUAUUAACCACGCUAAAUUCCUGCAGCAGCAGCAGCAACAACUCGUCAAAGCUCUCCCAGUCACACAGCAAAGCCCCCAAACUCUGCUCUCUCAAGCGGACAUUGUGAUGGAACAAAGUUCGCGCAGCAAAGUGUUCGGAUCGCUGAAAACAAAAGCGAGAAGUGAAAAUUUACGCAGCCGGCGGAGAGAGUAAAAAGAAAAGAUGAAGAUCCGGCUGAGUUUAAGUUGGAGGAAAAAGAAGAAAGAAAAAGGGGAAGGACGAAGUUUAGAUCGAGUUGCUUCACUUGCUGUCCCAGCCAGCAGCACAUAAAGAGCGAGAGUAUAGAGGGGAGAGGGGAGGGGGGGGGGGGACUCACAAAUGACGUGCGCUUUGUACGAGAAUCCCCCUACUUUCUGGUGCAAGAGAUGAAUAUAUACACGGUAUUAAUCUUUACAGCCAUAUAAAUCACUACAACGGGAUUUAAAGAGCAAGAAAGUCUCUGAAGUUACACACAAGAAACUUAGAAAUUCGUCAAUUAAAAUGUCUGCUUCCGCGUGAAGUUUGAACCUGUUAGCGGCUCGCGUUUUAAUCGAGAGAGAGAAAAAAAAAACAGAAACAGGACAGAGAGGAAAAUGGGUGGAAAAGGGGAAUGAACGAUUUGAUUGUGACAGUCAUUCCCGCCCUCUGAGGAAUCCCCGGACCUGUAAGGAAAUCGUUGUGCACUCGGUGGAUUUUCGGGAGAACACCUCCGCUCCUCUUCGCCUGUUAUCUUUUUUUUUUAUGUGUAAUGAAGUCUUAAGGCUUCAGAUGGUUAAAGUACGAAGCAUGCUCUCUCAAUAAUAUAUAUAUAUAAAAAACUCAACAAACAAAAACAAAAAAAACAAUAAGAAUGUACAGACGGGAAAGCGACGGCGAAUAGAUUAAAACAAAAGCUGACCUUUGACCUAAAGUGCAGGCCUCAUUUUACUUUGCAUGUGUCUGUCGCCUAAGUCGACAAAAAAAAGCCACCGUAUUUGUAAUAAAACGUAAAAAUGUCCGGGUGGAAAAGUGAUUUGUGGUAAAACAACAACAACAACAACAAUAAAGGGGGGUGAGGCGUGAUUAUGACUUUAUGUUUUUUUGCGUACAGAUGUCUUUGUGCUCGGCGCUCAGAGGCAGCGUCGUCCAGGUUGUGUCUCGGCUGAAGGUCACGGAGUUUCCUUCCUCUCCCCGUGUGUCCUGACUCCGCGAGGCCUCCGGUGAAACAUUCACCACCACCAACACGACUGUCCCGUCUUUGUUUGUCUUACAGAACAAGAAGAAGAACAACAACAACAACAAAAAGAAGAAGAAGAAGAAGAAGAAAGAAAGAAAAUUCACGACUUGUCACGGAAGCGAGGCGACUCGACUGGAAUUUUACUGCUGAGCUCCGGACGGAGAGAAAAAGGCGACCAGGCGGUUUGGAGGUUUGCACCGAGGACCGACUGGCAGAGAGAGACCCCACAUCACUCCCAAUAAGGUAAAACUUUCAAACCAGGUCGAAAACGGCACCACGCGUCUAUAGCGGAUCUUAGCGGCCUGAGAGGAGACGGGAAACCCUGGCCGAAUGAAACCUGGACGACGACGUCUCCUGCCUUCAGCUCCACGUUCCCACGUCUGUUCCUUCUGCUCGCUCUCGUUCUUCAAAAGCUGCUUUGUUCGUCUUCUCUACAACUCGUACGUCUCCGUCCACUCGUGAUCGUCCCCACAGUCUUCCAGUAGAAUCAAGAAUACAACUGCACAACCCCAAAGGAGUCCCGAGUCUGUGACCCGGCUCAGAUCACGGUGCAACACAGGGAAUGAGGGGCGAUGACUUCUAGCGGACGGAAACGAGACGCUUYGCCGCCGGCGAAGCGGAAGGCGAGCCGGAAGAGAAGGGUCAAAGGUCGUUUGGUGUGAGGAAGCCUCGGUACGGAGAGUAGAGUAUCAAGUGACAGGAAGAGGAAGCUAAAUGUAGGAGACGGAGACGAGGAGAGACGGCUGCUGGGUGGAGGUGGAGGAAGAGCCGGCGCCUUGCCGCUCCGCCCGAAACCAGGAAGUCAAAUCUGAGCGGAGUCCGUCCGUCCGUCUGUCCGUCUGUCUCCAUCCGCGUCUGGUCACACAAAGCAAGAAGGACGAGCAACAAGGCCUCCGUCUACCUCGUGCUAAGCUGCCACACACUCAGGCUGGACUGGACACACACACACAGACAGACAGAACAGCUGUGUGGAUCAUAACUGUGAUGUGAAGGUGGACUCCCCUCAAGUCUAACAGGACUGUGUGUGUGUGUGUGUGUGUGUGUGUGUAAAUAUUAAAGUGUAAAAUUAAAGAUGAUGAUGGGAUGUAUUUAAAAUCAACUUGAUGCCAUUUUAGUUUUGCUUGUGCAACAAUAAUCACACUGUAUAUUUGUGCAUCAUGUUAAAUUGAUUGUGAUGUGAACAUUUUUUCAUCUUUCUUUAUACUUGUAAGUUUUAAUUWAAAAAAAAAACAUGUACAAUUGUGUUCCAUGAAUUAUGUAUUUUAAAGAUGACAUUUGUACAAAUGUGUAUUUUUAUGUUGUUUUUUGUUGCAAUGACAUAGAGACAUUUUGUUCCUACUGCGUUUGACUGAACGUGUUAUGAAACUGUUACACAACUUGCAUCUCCGUCCUCUCGGAUCCCAGAGCUUUCUGUCCAAUUUUGUGAACAGCAGCGCGAUUCAGUUUCGGAUUCGGACCCAUUUUCAUACUCUCGCCCCUGUGCAGAGUACACGGCAGGCUUUGCCUUCAGCCCGGGAGCCUCGGUCUGCCUGCAUUUCAUGUUCGGUUUGCAGCGUGUGGAUGGACGGAUAGAUGGGGGAGAAAGAGGGGUGAUGGGGGGGGGGAGAGCAUGGCGGCUUGCAGGCAGAGAGAGAGAGAGAGAGAGAGAGAGAGAGAGUUGGAGACAGAGGAGUUAUUCCUGCAUUCUUCUCCUGAAAAAUAAAAACGACAACAAAAAAAAUGGUGGCUGUUGUUAGUGAAACAUGCAUUCUCUGUAAACAAGCGUGUGUGGACAUUUUAAAAACACUGUGAAAUAAAAGCGAUGGAAAUUUA